AGCAUGUGGCUUAAUUUGACUCAACACGGGAAAUCUUACCGGGUCCGGACAUAUCGAGGAUUGACAGACAGUUAUACAUGCCCUACAAGUAGGAGUCAGGUUUUAAACCUAAUGGCUCUUUCAUGAUUAUAUGAUAGGUGGUGCAUGGCCGUUCUUAGUUCGUGGAGUGAUCUGUCUGCUUAAUUGCGUUUCAAAAUUUAACUUGAGGACCGGGUUUUGGUUUGGCUAGUGGUUCUACGAUGACUGUGAACUGUCAUGUCUUCGGAUGUGCGACUAUUGGUCUAGGAUCACAUGACUUGCCCCUGGGACUCUUUUGAACGCAACGGACGUGAUUGCAACCCCUUGUUGAGAUUAGAGAUAGUCUCGAUAUUCACUGGACAAACUGGCUGCUUUAUGCAGUCUUGUUGAAUGGUGGAUAAACUCGGGGGACUGCUGACUAUAACCAUUUCUCAAAACAGAGGAAGGUUGCGGCAAUAACAGGUCUGUGAUGCCCUCAGAUGUCCCGG
Molecule: ribosomal RNA, 506 nt
Filed under: Globigerinoides ruber
Lineage: Eukaryota; Foraminifera; Rotaliida; Globigerinidae
Description: SSU rRNA
Rfam family: Eukaryotic small subunit ribosomal RNA
Source: RNAcentral